AUGAGAAAUCCAACGGCGGCCGAUGCCGUCAGCGAGUUGGCGGAGCUGGUCCUCCCGUGGCUGCCGCCGCCCGACCUUGCCGCCGCGGCUUCCGCCAGCCGCGCCAUGCGAGCGGCCGCGUCUGCCGUCACCGCCCGCCGCGCCGCCGACUCGGCUCGCGGCCUGGAGGCCUUCCCUGCCCCCUUCGUCAACCCCAUCGACUCCCAGCCCUACUCCUACUUCAUCUACACGCCCUUCUCCCUCAUACCUUCCGCGGCCUCCUUCCACGCGCAGCCGUGGGGCUGCGCAUGGUCCCGGACUCCGGGUCCUACCUGGCCCCGCCCCGACCUAGGCCUCCCCUUGGCCGGCUGCUCGUGCGCCCGGGGGGAGUGCGGCGGCGCGGCGUGCGCGUGCGCCGACGCGGAGGCCGAGGCGGCGGAUGCGUCGGGGGCGGGUAUGGCGAGCCUCAGCGAGUGCGGCGACGGGUGCGCGUGCGGGCCCUCGUGCGAGAACCGGCGGACGCAGCGCGGCGUCACGGUGCGGCUGCGCGUCCUGCGCCAACUGAAGAAAGGGUGGGCGCUGCACGCCGCCGAGGUCAUUCACCGCGGCCAGUUCGUCUGCGAGUAUGCCGGUGAGUUCUUGACAACAGAAGAAGCCCGGAGGAGGCAUAGGCUGUAUGACGAGCUUGCCUCGGUUGGUAAGCUCUCUCCUGCACUCCUGGUCAUACGAGAGCAUCUUCCUUCUGGGAGAGUAUGCAUGCGAGUUAACAUUGAUGCAACAAAAGUGGGAAACGUGGCUCGUUUCAUCAACCAUUCAUGUGACGGAGGCAACCUGCGCCCUAUCUUAGUGAGGAGCUCUGGCUCGUUGCUCCCAAGGCUCUGCCUUUUUGCUGCCAGAGAUAUAGUGGACGGGGAAGAGCUCGCCUUCAGUUACGGGGAUGCUAAACCCAAUCCUAAGGGCUUACCGUGCUUCUGUGAAAGCUCGUGUUGCCCUGGUGUAUUACCUGCAGAAGAAACCUAA
RNAcentral lists this ribosomal RNA (999 nucleotides) under Triticum aestivum (bread wheat). RNAcentral's name for it is "partial small subunit ribosomal RNA". The record is from RNAcentral. Lineage: Eukaryota; Viridiplantae; Streptophyta; Magnoliopsida; Poales; Poaceae.